CGAGCGGAUGAAGAGAGCUUGCUCUCUGAUUCAGCGGCGGACGGGUGAGUAAUGCCUAGGAAUCUGCCUGAUAGUGGGGGACAACGUUUCGAAAGGAACGCUAAUACCGCAUACGUCCUACGGGAGAAAGCAGGGGACCUUCGGGCCUUGCGCUAUCAGAUGAGCCUAGGUCGGAUUAGCUAGUUGGUGAGGUAACGGCUCACCAAGGCGACGAUCCGUAACUGGUCUGAGAGGAUGAUCAGUCACACUGGAACUGAGACACGGUCCAGACUCCUACGGGAGGCAGCAGUGGGGAAUAUUGGACAAUGGGCGAAAGCCUGAUCCAGCCAUGCCGCGUGUGUGAAGAAGGUCUUCGGAUUGUAAAGCACUUUAAGUUGGGAGGAAGGGCAUUAACCUAAUACGUUAGUGUUUUGACGUUACCGACAGAAUAAGCACCGGCUAACUUCGUGCCAGCAGCCGCGGUAAUACGAAGGGUGCAAGCGUUAAUCGGAAUUACUGGGCGUAAAGCGCGCGUAGGUGGUUUGUUAAGUUGAAUGUGAAAGCCCCGGGCUCAACCUGGGAACUGCAUCCAAAACUGGCAAGCUAGAGUAUGGCAGAGGGUGGUGGAAUUUCCUGUGUAGCGGUGAAAUGCGUAGAUAUAGGAAGGAACACCAGUGGCGAAGGCGACCACCUGGGCUAAUACUGACACUGAGGUGCGAAAGCGUGGGGAGCAAACAGGAUUAGAUACCCUGGUAGUCCACGCCGUAAACGAUGUCGACUAGCCGUUGGGAUCCUUGAGAUCUUA
RNAcentral lists this ribosomal RNA (784 nucleotides) under Pseudomonas sp. RNAcentral describes it as "bacterial SSU rRNA". It matches the Rfam family "Bacterial small subunit ribosomal RNA", at positions 63 to 842 of the family's 1533-position model. Lineage: Bacteria; Pseudomonadati; Pseudomonadota; Gammaproteobacteria; Pseudomonadales; Pseudomonadaceae. The record is from RNAcentral.